Molecule: ribosomal RNA, 468 nt
Filed under: uncultured bacterium
Lineage: Bacteria
Description: partial 16S ribosomal RNA
Rfam family: Bacterial small subunit ribosomal RNA
Source: RNAcentral
GACGAACGCUGGCGGCGUGCUUAACACAUGCAAGUCGAACGGAAAGGCCCUGCUUUUGUGGGGUGCUCGAGUGGCGAACGGGUGAGUAACACGUGAGUAACCUGCCCUUGACUUUGGGAUAACUUCAGGAAACUGGGGCUAAUACCGGCUAGGAGCUCCUGCUGCAUGGGGGGGGUUGGAAAGUUUCGGCGGUUGGGGAUGGACGCGCGGCUUAUCAGCUUGUUGGUGGGGUAGUGGCUUACCAAGGCUUUGACGGGUAGCCGGCCUGAGUGGGUGACCGGCCACAUUGGGACUGAGGUACGGCGCAGUCUCCUACGUGGGGCAGCAGUGGGGAACAUUGCACAAUGGGCGGAAGCCUGAUGCAGCAACGCCGCGUGCGGGAUGACGGCCUUCGGGUUGUAAACCGCUUUCGCCUGUGACGAAGCGUGAGUGACGGUAAUGGGUAAAGAAGCACCGGCUAACUACGUG